GUGCCAGCAGCCGCGGUAAUACGUAGGUGGCAAGCGUUGUCCGGAAUUACUGGGCGUAAAGGGUGCGCAGGCGGACAUUUAAGUGAGAUGUGAAAUACCCGGGCUUAACCCGGGCAGUGCAUUUGAGACUGCAUAUCUAGAGUGCAGGAGAGGAAAGCGGAAUUCCUAGUGUAGCGGUGAAAUGCGUAGAUAUUAGGAAGAACACCAGUGGCGAAGGCGGCUUUCUGGACUGUAACUGACGCUGGUGCAUGAAAGCGUGGGGAGCAAACAGGAUUAGAUACCCUGGUAGUCCACGCCGUAAACGAUGGGUACUAGGUGUGGGAGGUAUCGACCCCUUCCGUGCCGCAGUAAACACAAUAAGUACCCCACCUGGGGAGUACGGUCGCAAGAUUAAAACUUAAAGGAAUUGGCGG
RNAcentral lists this ribosomal RNA (413 nucleotides) under uncultured bacterium. RNAcentral describes it as "bacterial SSU rRNA". It matches the Rfam family "Bacterial small subunit ribosomal RNA", at positions 505 to 916 of the family's 1533-position model. The record is from RNAcentral.